UACGUAGGGGGCAAGCGUUAUCCGGAUUUACUGGGUGUAAAGGGGGCGCAGACGGCGAUGCAAGCCAGGAGUGAAAGCCCGGGGCCCAACCCCGGGACUGCUCUUGGAACUGCGUGGCUGGAGUGCAGGAGGGGCAGGCGGAAUUCCUGGUGUAGCGGUGAAAUGCGUAGAUAUCAGGAGGAACGCCGGUGGCGAAGGCGGCCUGCUGGACUGCAACUGACGUUGAGGCCCGAAAGCGUGGGGAGCAAACAGG
Molecule: ribosomal RNA, 253 nt
Filed under: uncultured bacterium
Lineage: Bacteria
Description: partial 16S ribosomal RNA
Rfam family: Bacterial small subunit ribosomal RNA
Source: RNAcentral